AACGAACGCUGGCGGCAGGCUUAACACAUGCAAGUCGAGCGCCCCGCAAGGGGAGCGGCAGACGGGUGAGUAACGCGUGGGAACGUACCUUUUGGUUCGGAACAACUCCGGGAAACUGGAGCUAAUACCGGAUAAGCCCUAACGGGGAAAGAUUUAUCGCCGAAAGAUCGGCCCGCGUCUGAUUAGCUAGUUGGUGAGGUAACGGCUCACCAAGGCGACGAUCAGUAGCUGGUCUGAGAGGAUGAUCAGCCACACUGGGACUGAGACACGGACCAGACUCCUACGGGAGGCAGCAGUGGGGAAUAUUGGACAAGGGGCGCAAGCCUGAUCCAGCCAUGCCGCGUGAGUGAUGAAGGCCUUAGGGUUGUAAAGCUCUUUUGUCCGGGAAGAUAAUGACUGUACCGGAAGAAUAAGCCCCGGCUAACUUCGUG
RNAcentral lists this ribosomal RNA (431 nucleotides) under uncultured bacterium. RNAcentral describes it as "partial 16S ribosomal RNA". It matches the Rfam family "Bacterial small subunit ribosomal RNA", at positions 29 to 507 of the family's 1533-position model. The record is from RNAcentral.